GGGGACUGAUAGAGAGGGAAGUCACUCAUUGCUCUGAGGAUGGCACCAAGCCUUUCAAGAGGGAUCUGCUCCCACGACUGAAAUAUCUCCCAGCAGACCCCAACUCCAAAACUGGGGAUCACAUUUCAAUAUGAGAUUUGGAGGGACUAACAUAGAGACUAUAUCAGCCCCCAUUUAUCUGUAAUCCUUCUCUUUCUUUAAUAGAAGUUGGAGAGCUAAAAUUGUAGCCAUCUCAACAUCCUUUGCAACUAGGGAGAGUAAGACAGCACCAUUUCUACCCCAUGCGAUAUAUGUGCAGAUCUGCUUGGAGAGGGUCUCUUUUUUGAAUAAAAAGACAAAGCUACAAAAGAAGAAAAUGGCUCUGUUCUUUCUGCCUAGAUGUAGACAAGACCCCAGGAGCUGCAGCAGUCAUCUGCUCACACUGAAGUUCGUAGAACUAAAAGACGGAAGGAGCCUGGGAUGCUGAUGAAAUUGUGAAGCUACUGACACAAGCCCUGGACUGCCUAUCUCUGGACUCUACUGGAUGGGUCCACAUGGCAAGGAACCAAGGGUAGCCUCUGGCCAGCAACCAGAGAAGAUAAAGAUCUCCAACAACGUCUGCGUUUGGAAGAGGAUUGUUCUUCCGUAGAGUUUUCUGAUGAGGCCCCAGCCUUGGCAACAUCUUGACUGUCUCCUUGUAAAGGGACCUUGAGACAGAGGACUCAGCUCAGCCGUGCCAGACUCCUGACUCACAGAAACAGUGAGAUUAUAAAAACAAACUGUUUUAAGCCACUAAGUUUUGAGUAAUUUGUCACACAGUAGAUAAUAAACUUCCAUAGAAUCUUGAUAUUGAUCAUAUUUCUCUUUGCCUUAACAAUCUUGUGUCUGUGCCCCUACCCUGUUUUCCACAAAAAUAUCCAGAGAGACCCAACUAUUUUGCGAGUGAGGUAUUUUUCAUGAGAAUUUAGGGCAAGCAGAGACUUCAUCCUCUCUCCUCUCUUUUCCUUUCCCCUGAGCAAUGGACAAUAGCAUAUUAUUUACCUUGACCUGUGACAAACAGUUCUACCCAUAUUCAGGCCCAAGCACCUGUCAAAAACUACAGUUUCCCUAAAGGAAAACUAAUGAUUAUAGUAAAAAAGACACCUGCAUUCAUAUGUUUAUUGCAGCACUAUUCACAAUAGCAAAGUCAUGGAAUCAAUGUAAGUGUCCAGCAACAGAUUCAGAAGGUACAGAAAAUGUGGAUACAAAAAAUGUGGUGUGU
RNAcentral lists this long non-coding RNA (1240 nucleotides) under Homo sapiens (human). RNAcentral describes it as "LNC_000890". Lineage: Eukaryota; Metazoa; Chordata; Mammalia; Primates; Hominidae. The record is from RNAcentral.